CCUACGGGAGGCUGCAGUAGGGAAUAUUGGACAAUGGGUGCGAGCCUGAUCCAGCCAUGCCGCGUGCAGGAAGAAGGCGUUAUGCGUUGUAAACUGCUUUUGCCAGGGGAUAAAAUAACUGUGCGCAGUUGAUUGAAGGUACCUGGUGAAUAAGCCACGGCUAACUACGUGCCAGCAGCCGCGGUAAUACGUAGGUGGCAAGCGUUGAUUGGAUUUAAAGGGUUUAAAGGCGGCGUUGGCAGCCAGGGGUGAAAUAUCUCAGCUUAACUGAGAGGGUGCCAUUGAUACUGCGGGGCUUGAGUACAGAUGAGGUAGGCGGAAUUGACGGUGUAGCGGUGAAAUGCAUAGAUAUCGUCAAGAACACCGAUAGCGAAGGCAGCUUACCAAGCUGUAACUGACGCUGAGGCACGAAAGUGUGGGGAUCAAACAGGAUUAGAUACCCUUGUAGUC
This 450-nucleotide ribosomal RNA is filed under the name uncultured bacterium. RNAcentral describes it as "partial 16S ribosomal RNA". It matches the Rfam family "Bacterial small subunit ribosomal RNA", at positions 338 to 795 of the family's 1533-position model. The record is from RNAcentral.